RNAcentral lists this long non-coding RNA (962 nucleotides) under Helianthus annuus (common sunflower). The record is from RNAcentral. Lineage: Eukaryota; Viridiplantae; Streptophyta; Magnoliopsida; Asterales; Asteraceae.
AUGUUAUUCCCUGCUACAACAAUAUUGGUUGCAUAUCUACGUGGCUUAAAAGAAAUAAAAAUCUUGGUUUUCCAUGUAUGCAUAAUUGUAGGUGAAGAAGGCACGAAAAAAGGGAGCAACUACCAUUUACUAGUAUAAACCAAAUUCGACCGUCUUCUUCUACGCCAGAUCAACACGAAACCCCCAAAUCUCCACUAUUUUUUUAGAUCGUAUAUGCUUCAAAUCCAUUUCCACUAUACUCGCAUCCUUUCUCCAAUCUAACUAACAUAUGGAAGAUGAUAAUGAUUUGGAGCAGGUUACGGGGAGUCCUUCGUCCGGAGAGAACGAAUUUGUUCAUGUUGAGUCAGUUGAUUCUGCUCAAAUGGAUGUUAAUUCGAUUGAUCAGCACAGAAGAAUUUAGACAGAAAGGGGUGGACUUUUCUUCACAAUGAGCACAGAAGUGGGUGGUGGAGGAGAUGAUGUCAAGUAUAGUGGGUGGUGGAGGAGAUGAUGUGGAGGUGGGUAUCGGCGAUGGAGGUGGAGGUGGGUGGUGGUGGUGGAGGUGGGUGAUGGCGGCUGAUGGAGGGGGGGUUAAUAUUACAGAUUAGAACAAACCAUAAGGGGUAAUAUGAAAGGGCAACAUAGUCAUUUCACAUUCCAGUUAACAGAUCUGUUAACUUAUUUGACACUAGGGGGUAAACUUGCGACAUAACACCAAACGUUGGGGGGGUAAAAUUGCAAUUAUUUCGUUAGGGGGGUUCAGAGUGCCAAUUGGCCUAAACCCCAGGGGGUAAAAUUACAGUUUACUCUUGUUUAUGGAAUGAAGGUUAAAGGCACUGCCUUCCUGUGGCAAUAAUUGGGAUCCCCAAGACAGCUAACAAUGACAUUGGUGUAAGUUCUUUGAUCCCUUUUUGUAUCUUAUAGGUCCUUUAUAUUGGGUUAACACCACAAUUGUGUGAUAAUUUGUAGUAAUUGUGUGAUUU